UGGGGAAUCUUGGACAAUGGGCGCAAGCCUGAUCCAGCCAUGCCGCGUGAGUGAAGAAGGCCUUCGGGUUGUAAAGCUCUUUUUACCAGGGACGAUAAUGACGGUACCUGGAGAAUAAGCCCCGGCAAACUUCGUGCCAGCAGCCGCGGUAAUACGAAGGGGGCUAGCGUUGUUCGGAAUUACUGGGCGUAAAGCGUGCGCAGGCGGUUCGCCAAGUCAGGUGUGAAAUCCCCGGGCUUAACCUGGGAAUUGCGCUUGAGACUGCACGGCUAGAGUGUGUCAGAGGGGGUAGAAUUCCACGUGUAGCAGUGAAAUGCGUAGAUAUGUGGAGGAAUACCGAUGGCGAAGGCAGCCCCCUGGGAUAACACUGACGCUCAUGCACGAAAGCGUGGGGAGCAAACAGGAUUAGAUACCCCGGUAGUCCCUGAGCGGGCUGGCAAGGCGCAU
This 447-nucleotide ribosomal RNA is filed under the name uncultured bacterium. RNAcentral describes it as "bacterial SSU rRNA". It matches the Rfam family "Bacterial small subunit ribosomal RNA", at positions 355 to 825 of the family's 1533-position model. The record is from RNAcentral.